AUAGAUGAAGCCAAGCAUGGGGCAGAGGCUGGGCCACACAGGGCCGCGGGGGCCAGGGCGACAGCAGCCACUCAUGGAUUUCUGAAGACAGAAGCAGGUGAAGACUUUUGCUUCAGAAAGAAAGGGGGAUUUUGUAAUGAAUAAUGGGCACACGAUUACCACAGAGUUUAUUUGAGGGAUCCUGCUUUUGGUGUCACAUCAAAGAACUCUGCCCAAUUCAAGUGUCUCCACCUCUCCUUCCUCUGUUGAAGACCGCCCUGCCUGCUCUUGCACCCAGCCAAUUCCUCCUCCCUCCCAUCGAGCCUGUUGUCGCCUCCUGGAAGAACUCUUCCCUGAGUCUGUGACCUCCCCCAGCACAUGGGACCUCCCGCAUCACAGUCCUGACGACAGUGCACUGUGAUUAUUCGGCGACUUGUCAAUUUCUCCACUUGACAGAACUUCCCGUGAGGACAGAGACCAGGACUGUCAUGAUCAGUGCUACAGCCCCAUCACCCAGCACAGCAACUGGCAAAUGAAAGGGUCUAUUGAACACAUGAAUGGGCUUUAAAAACAUUUCAGAAAAUCCCAAGACACAUUUUAUAAAAAUGGCCAAAAGGAUAUCCAUUAAGUGUUAUUCGUAAGUGCAAAAAUUAAGAACAGGCUGGAUGUGGUAGCUUGUGCCUAUAAUCCCAGCACUUUGGGAGGCCAAGGUGGGCAGAUCACUUGAGGUCAGGAGUUUGAGACCAGCCUGGCCAAUGUGGCAAAAUCCCAUCUCUACUAAAAACACAAAAAUUAGCUGGGCGUGGUGGCGGGUACCUAUAAUCCCAGCUACUCAGGAGGCUGAGGCAGGAUAAUUGCUUGAACCCGGGAGGUGAAGGUUGCAGUGAGCCGAGAUUGCGCCACUGCACUCCAGCCUGGGCGACAGAGCCAGACUCCACCUCAAAAAAAAAAAAAAAGAUUGUGCCACGGCACUCCAGCCUGGGCAACAGAGCAAGACUCCGUCAAAAAAAAAAAAAAAUUGAGACCAUCCCAAAUUCCAAUAGCAAGGAAAUUAAUGGGUAUGCAAUUUUGAGAUAUCUUUAUGAUGCGCUUUGUUGAAGCAAUUAAAAUUGAAUUUUCUCAAGAAUUUGUAAAGGCAUGAAGAAAAGCUUACGUUACGUGGUUAUGCAAAAAGUAAUCUAUAAUACUAUAUAUGAUGUCAUGUAAUCUCAACUAUUCAAAUACAUAUUUUUAAAUAGGAUGGAUAAAACACUGGAAGGAAAUAUCACAACAAAUCAUUUACAGUAAUUGCUUCUGGGACUCCUGAGAUUUCUUUUUCUUUCUUUUUUAUGUUUUCCUGUAACGCUAAAAAACAAAUAAACAAGAUCAAAA
Homo sapiens (human) is the source of this 1350-nucleotide long non-coding RNA. RefSeq lists it as uncharacterized. Lineage: Eukaryota; Metazoa; Chordata; Mammalia; Primates; Hominidae. The record is from RefSeq and is a predicted model, not a curated record. The transcript is spliced from 3 exons.